This 460-nucleotide ribosomal RNA is filed under the name uncultured bacterium. RNAcentral's name for it is "partial 16S ribosomal RNA". It matches the Rfam family "Bacterial small subunit ribosomal RNA", at positions 338 to 795 of the family's 1533-position model. The record is from RNAcentral.
CCUACGGGAGGCAGCAGUGAGGAAUAUUGGUCAAUGGACGAGAGUCUGAACCAGCCAAGUAGCGUGAAGGAUGACUGCCCUAUGGGUUGUAAACUUCUUUUAUAUGGGAAUAAAAUGUUCCACGUGUGGGAUUUUGUAUGUACCAUAUAAAUAAGGAUCGGCUAACUCCGUGCCAGCAGCCGCGGUAAUACGGAGGAUCCGAGCGUUAUCCGGAUUUAUUGGGUUUAAAGGGAGCGUAGGUGGAUUGUUAAGUCAGUUGUGAAAGUUUGCGGCUCAACCGUAAAAUUGCAGUUGAAACUGGCAGUCUUGAGUACAGUAGAGGUGGGCGGAAUUCGUGGUGUAGCGGUGAAAUGCUUAGAUAUCACGAAGAACUCCGAUUGCGAAGGCAGUUCACUGGACUGCAACUGACACUGAGGCUCGAAAGUGUGGGUAUCAAACAGGAUUAGAUACCCGAGUAGUC